This 1334-nucleotide ribosomal RNA is filed under the name metagenome. RNAcentral's name for it is "bacterial SSU rRNA". It matches the Rfam family "Bacterial small subunit ribosomal RNA", at positions 63 to 1390 of the family's 1533-position model. The record is from RNAcentral.
CGAGCGGCAGCGCGGGGGCAACCCUGGCGGCGAGCGGCGAACGGGUGAGUAACACAUCGGAACGUACCCCGUCGUGGGGGAUAACGAGUCGAAAGAUUCGCUAUACCGCAUACGACCUGAGGGUGAAAGCGGGGGACCUGCAAGGGCCUCGCGCGAUGGGAGCGGCCGAUGUCCGAUUAGCUAGUUGGUGGGGUAAGAGCCUACCAAGGCGACGAUCGGUAGCUGGUCUGAGAGGAUGAUCAGCCACACUGGGACUGAGACACGGCCCAGACUCCUACGGGAGGCAGCAGUGGGGAAUUUUGGACAAUGGGCGCAAGCCUGAUCCAGCCAUUCCGCGUGAGUGAAGAAGGCCUUCGGGUUGUAAAGCUCUUUCGGCCGGGAAGAAAUCGGGCAGGUGAAUAAUCUGCCUGGAUGACGGUACCGGAAGAAGAAGCACCGGCUAACUACGUGCCAGCAGCCGCGGUAAUACGUAGGGUGCGAGCGUUAAUCGGAAUUACUGGGCGUAAAGCGUGCGCAGGCGGCUUUGUAAGACAGGUGUGAAAUCCCCGGGCUUAACCUGGGAAUGGCGCUUGUGACUGCAAGGCUUGAGUUCGGCAGAGGGGGGUGGAAUUCCACGUGUAGCAGUGAAAUGCGUAGAGAUGUGGAGGAACACCGAUGGCGAAGGCAGCCCCCUGGGUCGCGACUGACGCUCAUGCACGAAAGCGUGGGGAGCAAACAGGAUUAGAUACCCUGGUAGUCCACGCCCUAAACGAUGCCGACUAGGUGUUGGGGAAGGAGACUUCUUUAGUACCGUAGCUAACGCGUGAAGUCGACCGCCUGGGGAGUACGGUCGCAAGAUUAAAACUCAAAGGAAUUGACGGGGACCCGCACAAGCGGUGGAUGAUGUGGAUUAAUUCGAUGCAACGCGAAAAACCUUACCUACCCUUGACAUGCCAGGAACCUUGCUGAGAGGUGAGGGUGCCCGAAAGGGAGCCUGGACACAGGUGCUGCAUGGCUGUCGUCAGCUCGUGUCUUGAGAUGUUGGGUUAAGUCCCGCAACGAGCGCAACCCUUGUCGCUAAUUGCCAUCAUUCAGUUGGGCACUUUAGCGAGACUGCCGGUGACAAACCGGAGGAAGGUGGGGAUGACGUCAAGUCCUCAUGGCCCUUAUGGGUAGGGCUUCACACGUCAUACAAUGGUCGGUACAGAGGGCUGCUAACCCGCGAGGGGGCGCUAAUCUCGCAAAGCCGAUCGUAGUCCGGAUUGCAGUCUGCAACUCGACUGCAUGAAGUCGGAAUCGCUAGUAAUCGUGGAUCAGCAUGUCACGGUGAAUACGUUCCCGGGUCUUGUACACAC